Molecule: ribosomal RNA, 253 nt
Filed under: uncultured bacterium
Lineage: Bacteria
Description: partial 16S ribosomal RNA
Rfam family: Bacterial small subunit ribosomal RNA
Source: RNAcentral
UACGGAGGGAGCUAGCGUUGUUCGGAAUUACUGGGCGUAAAGCGCACGUAGGCGGCUUUGUAAGUUAGAGGUGAAAGCCCGGGGCUCAACCCCGGAAUUGCCUUUAAGACUGCAUCGCUUGAAUCCGGGAGAGGUGAGUGGAAUUCCGAGUGUAGAGGUGAAAUUCGUAGAUAUUCGGAAGAACACCAGUGGCGAAGACGGCUCACUGGACCGGUAUUGACGCUGAGGUGCGAAAGCGUGGGGAGCAAACAGG